This 494-nucleotide ribosomal RNA is filed under the name uncultured bacterium. Its description in RNAcentral is "bacterial SSU rRNA". It matches the Rfam family "Bacterial small subunit ribosomal RNA", at positions 903 to 1397 of the family's 1533-position model. The record is from RNAcentral.
AAAGGAAUAGACGGGGGCCCGCACAAGCGGAGGAACAUGUGGUUUAAUUCGAUGAUACGCGAGGAACCUUACCUGGGCUAGAACGCCGAGCGCAUAUGGGGGAAACCCCAUAGCCAGCAAUGGCGGUCGGCGAGGUGCUGCAUGGUUGUCGUCAGCUCGUGCCGUGAGGUGUCGGGUUAAGUCCCAUAACGAGCGCAACCCCUACUGUUAGUUGCCAGCGGAUCAUGCCGGGGACUCUAACGGAACUGCCAGCGUAAGCUGUGAGGAAGGUGGGGAUGACGUCAAAUCAGCACGGCCCUUACGUCCAGGGCUACACACGUGUUACAAUGGCCGGUACAGAGGGCAGCCACCCCGCGAGGGGGCGCGAAUCCUCAAAGCCGGUCCCAGUUCGGAUCGGAGUCUGCAACCCGACUCCGUGAAGCUGGAUUCGCUAGUAAUCGCGCAUCAGCCACGGCGCGGUGAAUACGUUCCCGGGCCUUGUACACACCGCCCGU